This 2061-nucleotide long non-coding RNA is filed under the name Mus musculus (house mouse). Its description in RNAcentral is "predicted gene, 30564 (Gm30564)". Lineage: Eukaryota; Metazoa; Chordata; Mammalia; Rodentia; Muridae. The record is from RNAcentral.
ACAGCUGAGAACAAGCUGAAGAUGGGCCAUCAAGACCUGAAAGAGCGGUGAGAAGAAAUAGUUAAUGACGGGACCUUCCACGUGUUUGGUAUAUCAAGACAUCCUUUCACCUGUGUGGCCCUGCAAAAUAACAUUUGACAUAACUAACUUCCCAAAGAAACUAAAAGUUUCCACUUCGGGCAUUCAACAAAAUCUUGGGUGAUUUGACAGCAAACCUGGAUUCAUGAAGACCAUUAACUUAGAAGGGAAAAGCUGAAAAUAUAGUAGCAUAGAUUUCUCUGUGUGUCAGCAACUGCUUCAAAUCUUCAAAACCAUAGUAAUGUGCUUAACCCUUCUGGGAAAGUCUAAAAUGGGAUUCUGUUUCUGACUCCGAUAUUCUCUUGAGUAGUGUAAUUUUUAAAUCGUCUAAUUCCAUGGACAACAACUUAGGCUAUUCAUUUACAGCUUGCAGAAAGCAUCACUUCUCCAUUCUGUUGAAGUAACUGACAGUUGGGGCAGGCAUCGUGUGGUUCCAGUUCAUUAUUAUUUUAUUGGGAUUAAAAUAAUUAACUGAUAUACCUCAUUUCCUCAUCACACAAGUAAAACAAAAUAAACAGAACAAAACAGAUCCCUUAUGGAAAAAAAAGAAAAGAAAAGAAACAGACUGGAUUUCCAGUCUAGCAACGGCAGAUAUCUCUGAAAUACUAGUCUAUUCUGCUUUCACUGGAUUUCUGUUACAAAAAUUAGAGUCCUGAAUCUCAAAUGUACCUUACAGGCAGCUAUUAAAAUAACUCAGGAGUGCCGGAAGGAGAGUUUUCUCAUAGAACAGUUUUUGUUCGUGCUCAUAUCUCAGACAGCUUUAACUAAAAUGCAACAAUCUAAAAAUACAUACGUGUUACUCUGGUGCAGUGAAAUGGCCAUAAUUUUUAUUUACUUUUAGUUUCUUCCUGAAGGCAAAAAUCUGAAAGGAAACACCUGCAGACUCUGACUUGUAGUCUUUGACUUCUCUGGAAAUACGAUCCACACACUGGAGUUCGGACAGUUUCAUUUCAGCUUGGGUGAAGGCCUAAUUGUGAAGGGCUUUUUAAAUGGCCACCUGUUCUUCUCCGCUAGCGGCAACAGCUCAGCCUUCCUCCACUGCCAGCACCAGGACCAGCACGUCCCUUUACUGAGCUUGCACUGGCAUCUCUGCGGAGAUUGCUCUUCUGUCCACUGUAUAGGGGACACUACUGUUUUCCUGUGAUGUCCCAUGCCGGUACUCUGAGCACCUACCCAGCAGUCAUUGGCAAAGAUGCAGAGUGCAUGUUAUAGUCGGUUCCUUGGGUCUCAGAGACAAUUUUAGGCUGGAAGCCUCCUGGGUUCUAUGUCCUGCUUCAUGAGCGCAGAAACAGAGCUUCCAGAAGACUGAUCUUCCACCAAUGGGAGUAAGGAGUGGUGUUGCUGGGGACCGAGCAAGGAGUCGGGGAAGAAGGAGAAGAGACAAUACUUAACACACCACUGUCUUCCUGCCUCUCCUCAACUGCUCCUCGUUGACACAGAAGAAACCGAUGAGUAUAGAAGACGUGGUUUCUAAACUAAAAAUAGUAAUAAUUAUCACUUUACUGAUUUCCAGCCACAGACUAUGAUAAGUAAGAGUUGUCGCACCGCCUGGUCACUUACAAAAAAGCCAACAGCAGUUCGCGUAUGGGCAACUUUUUUGGAGCUAACAAUUAUAAGCAAAGAAUAAGAGUGGUGACUCAUCACCAAGAUGUUCAUUAGUCUUUCUUCAGCCUCAGCUGAUGUUGUUCCUAUAAAUAAGCAACUCCUGAAGCUCAAACCCCCUGCUGCUUAGCCUUAGAAACAUGCGCAUGCGCACUUGGUGCUUAAGCACUCCUUGCUUAGGCCACAACUCAGAACCCAUCAGCUCUCUCAUUCGCAUAACGUAUGUUUUUUUGCACCAAAUGAACUCAUAUUUUCAAAAUAACGUGCCUCGCCUUCUCGUGCUAUACAGAUCAAGGUGUCAUUCUUAUUUUUCCUUUUUCUCCAUCUCCCCAUCCUAGUCACCUAUCUGCCCUAUAAUAAAACAGUGACCAUUUUUGACUG